RNAcentral lists this ribosomal RNA (686 nucleotides) under marine metagenome. RNAcentral's name for it is "bacterial SSU rRNA". It matches the Rfam family "Bacterial small subunit ribosomal RNA", at positions 536 to 1223 of the family's 1533-position model. The record is from RNAcentral.
AAGCGUUAAUCGGAAUUACUGGGCGUAAAGCGCGCGUAGGUGGUUUGUUAAGUUGGAUGUGAAAGCCCUGGGCUCAACCUAGGAACUGCAUCCAAAACUAACUCACUAGAGUACGAUAGAGGGAGGUAGAAUUCAUAGUGUAGCGGUGGAAUGCGUAGAUAUUAUGAAGAAUACCAGUGGCGAAGGCGGCCUCCUGGAUCUGUACUGACACUAAGGUGCGAAAGCGUGGGUAGCGAACAGGAUUAGAUACCCUGGUAGUCCACGCCGUAAACGAUGACAACUAGCUGUUGGGAGACAAUGUCUUUCAGUGGCGCAGCUAACGUUUUAAGUUGUCCGCCUGGGGAGUACGGCCGCAAGGCUAAAACUCAAAUGAAUUGACGGGGACCCGCACAAGCGGUGGAGCAUGUGGUUUAAUUCGAUGCAACGCGAAAAACCUUACCUACUCUUGACAUACUUGGAAGCUCUUGUAAUGAGAGUGUGCCUUUUGGAGCCAAGAUACAGGUGCUGCAUGGCUGUCGUCAGCUCGUGUCGUGAGAUGUUCCGUUAAGUCGGAUAACGAGCGCAACCCUUACCCUUAUUUGCCAGCGAUUCGGUCGGGAACUAUAAGGGGACUGCCGGUGAUAAACCGGAGGAAGGUGAGGACGACGUCAAGUCAUCAUGGCCCUUACGAGUAGGGCUACACACGU